ACUCAUCCUUGCGCCAAGCUACGCACUUGGGUUUGACGACGAGGGAUGCCAAUCUCGCACGAGUUCACCCGUGCUGCGAACCGUAGCGAGCAAAUUGACUCCCCUGUAGACGACACCUCUGGAGACAGAUUCACAAACAUAAGUGUCUUCGAGUCUCCUCCAAGGCAUGGCUGUCAAGUACGUUAAUUUUGAGUUCCUGAACGGAACGUGCUCCUCUUUCUUUGCAAUGGAGAAGAUUACAUCGCUCAAGCAUGAGAGGCUCUUAUUAAUAGCCUGUGUCUCCUUUAGCCUAUCUCCGGUGGCACCGCUCUUGUUAAGCCGCUCACUGCCGGCAAGAUCGAUUAGAUUGAGCACUCCUUGCACCUGCUGAUAUCGCAUACCUCAUUGACACCAAAAAUUCGAAGCGUGAACACACAAUGACUUCUAGAUGAUUCUUCGUUCAUCUGUAACUAGAGUGUAACCUGCUCUGAGCAGCCCGCUUGAGGAGAGAAGAAACUUCAUUGAUACUCGAUACAUCGACAAUUGUGAGAUCUGAUACAUGGGUAUUACCAUUGGCAUCAUGCUUGAUACUGUACUUUGAAGCGCCACCAUCUUGAACAGUUGUGCGAUUAGUGGCUAGCAGAUCACGUAUGGCUUCAUUGUAGAUUUCCAGCAUAGAUGCCUGCAUCUUAUAUUUCCAUCCCUGUGAAAUAAGAGCCUGGCUUGUUUGGAAAAUUUGUUCAAGUGAUCUCGGAAUUAAUCCUUUCUGGUCAUGCAAUUCUGGAUUUCCCAUCAUUGUGUAUGUUUUACCCGAGCCAGUUUGGCCAUAUGCAAAUAUGCACACCUGACCAUCAAGGGCGCUUUGGAUGAGUUGGGAAAUCUCAAUGAACACAUCUUCUUGUGAUGCCGACUGCUCAAAUACUUUGUCAAAUUAAGUGUUACUAUACCAUUAUGUGUCAACUCAAUGCCACGACCUAAGUUUUCUCCACUCUUUGGAUAAGCAACAGCUCCUGAUUCAUUUGGCAAUAAAGGUCGCACCCUACAGAAUACUCGAAUUUUAAGAGACAGUACGAGUAUUGUAUUAUGGAGUCUUUUCCGCAAAUUCUCUCCGUCCAAAAUUUGUUGCUCAGCUUCUUCGAGUCGUAAUUGCAGAUCCUCCAACAUUCUUUUUUGCUUCUCAUACUCAGUCAUCGUCUCCAUAGCUUUCAGUAUGCACCUUUAACUUUUCGUUAGCUGAUGCAAGCUGCAGCUCCAAUGUUUUAAUUCUCUCUGCUUGGGACGAACAUCAUACCUCAAGGGCAGUACUUCUUGUCAUGGCAUUAUCCAAUUCUGCUACCGACUUUCCAGUCAUUUCCUUGUAUGUACUUACAUCGGCCAACAAGGAAUGUAUUUCAGCUAAUUUAUGAUCACGGUCAUCCCUUACUUGCUGGAGUUCACCCCUGAGAUUAUCAACUUCCUUUAGCAAGUCGGUCUUUUGUUUUAGAGCUUCAUUUUGGGAAGACUGCAUGGAAUAGAGGCCUGCAUCUUUACAGAGUUAGCAUGGUCCUUCAAACCAUUCAUUGUUUCUACCAUAGUGUUCUUCUCUUUCUGCAGCUUUGCUAUUGUUUCACCAUUCUUCGUUGCAUCUGCCUGGAGGUUGCUGUUAUACUGCUGCAAACUAGUGUUGUAUUCUUGAAGCCUCUUAUUUCUUUUCUAGAAAGAAAGUAAGACCUGAUCAUUAAGGCGUUUUUCCUCCAACUUAAUCCUUCUAAGAUCUUCCAAAUGCUCAUUUCGGGAAGCCUCAACAGCAAUCCUUGCUUCCUUUUCAUCUCCAUAAGACCUAAGGGCAUCCUACAUUUCAAAAAUUUCCUCCACUCUCUUUAGAUUCUCCUCUAAAGAAGCAUACUGUCUCUGAAGCUCCUCAUUUAUUGCCUUUGAUUCUUCUAUUGCACUUUUCAGCUGAGCCACUAGAUGACAUAGCAUAGAUUCAGUCAGUAGAAUCAACAAGCGCACAAAGUGUCAUGAUAUGAAAUGAAAGGGUGGUACCAAUCUCAGAGUGAUGUUUCUCUGCCGCCUCAAGUAGACCAUUGAGCUUCCCAAUCUCAGCCAGGUUUGUAUCCUCCCUCUCUAGCAGCCACUUGAUGCAAGCCCGUAGCUUUUUUAUGUAUUCCAUCAUUUGCUCGCUCUUCCCCUUGUAGUCCAUCUUGUUCUUGCCCUUCAUCUUCUCGUUGAGGAGGGCGUCGACAUCGUCCCUCCCGGCGAACUCGAUGGCGGGGUCAGGGGCGGGCGGAGCGGCGUUGGCGGAGAGCGGGGCGCGGGCGGCGGACCCGGCGGCCGUGCGCUGGCGCUUGCCGGCCUGCGCGUCGGCGGCGUUCUCCUUCUGGUGGAGCAUCCCGGGGCGAGUGGCGCGCGUGGACAUGGCCGGCGAGCGGAUCUAGGGCUAGGGCGAGCGGCGGCGGAGGCGGCGGGGAGAAGAGGAGGAGAGGAUUUUGGAUUUUGGAUUUGGAUUUGGGAAUGG
This 2476-nucleotide small RNA is filed under the name Oryza sativa Japonica Group (Japanese rice). RNAcentral describes it as "sRNA Os07g0105750". The record is from RNAcentral. Lineage: Eukaryota; Viridiplantae; Streptophyta; Magnoliopsida; Poales; Poaceae.